CCUACGGGAGGCAGCAGUAGGGAAUCUUCCACAAUGGGCGAAAGCCUGAUGGAGCAAAGCCGCGUGCGUGAAGAAGGUCUUCGGAUCGUAAAACUCUGUUUUUAGAGAAGUAAGUGCGUGAGAGUAACUGUUCACGUUUCGACGGUAUCUAUCCAGAAAGCCACGGUUAACUACGUGCCAGCAGCCGCGGUAAUACGUAGGUGGCUUGCGUUAUCCGGAUUUAUUGGGCGUAAAGGGAACGCAGGCGGUCUUUUAAGUCUGAUGUGAAAGCCUUCGGCUUAACCGGGGUAGUGCAUUGGAAACUGGCGGACUUGAGUGCGGAGGAGGAGGGUGGAACUCGAUGUGUAGCGGUGAAAUGCGUAGAUAUGUGGAAGAACCCCGGUGGCGAAGGCGGCUCUCUGGACUGUAACUGACGCUGAGGUUCGAAAGCGUGGGUAGCGAACAGGAUUAGAUACCCGAGUAGUC
This 465-nucleotide ribosomal RNA is filed under the name uncultured bacterium. Its description in RNAcentral is "partial 16S ribosomal RNA". It matches the Rfam family "Bacterial small subunit ribosomal RNA", at positions 338 to 795 of the family's 1533-position model. The record is from RNAcentral.